AUACGUAGGGAGCGAGCGUUGUCCGGAAUUACUGGGCGUAAAGGGCGCGUAGGCGGCGCUUCAAGUCGUCUGUCAAAUGGGAGGGCUUAACCCUUUUUCGCAGACGAAACUGGAGAGCUUGAGAAGCAGAGAGUCAAACAGAAUUCCUGGUGUAGCGGUGAAAUGCGUAGAUAUCAGGAAGAAUACCAGUGGCGAAGGCGGUUUGCUGGCUGCAUACUGACGCUGAAGCGCGAAAGCCAGGGGAGCAAACGGGAUUAGAUACCCCGGUAGUCCUGGCAGUAAACGAUGUAUGCUGGGUGUGAGACUAGCGAUAGUUUCGUGCCGAAGUUAACGCGAUAAGCAUACCGCCUGGGGAGUACGGUCGCAAGAUUGAAACUCAAAGGAAUUGACGGGG
RNAcentral lists this ribosomal RNA (394 nucleotides) under uncultured bacterium. RNAcentral's name for it is "partial 16S ribosomal RNA". It matches the Rfam family "Bacterial small subunit ribosomal RNA", at positions 523 to 918 of the family's 1533-position model. The record is from RNAcentral.